UAGGGAAUCUUCCGCAAUGGACGCAAGUCUGACGGAGCAACGCCGCGUGAGUGAAGAAGGAUUUCGGUUCGUAAAACUCUGUUGUUAGAGAAGAACAGCGCAUAGAGUAACUGUUAUGCGUGUGACGGUAUCUAACCAGAAAGCCACGGCUAACUACGUGCCAGCAGCCGCGGUAAUACGUAGGUGGCAAGCGUUGUCCCGAUUUAUUGGGCGUAAAGCGAGCGCAGGCGGUCAAUUAAGUCUGAUGUGAAAGCCCCCGGCUCAACCGGGGAGGGUCAUUGGAAACUGGUUGACUUGAGUGCAGAAGAGGAGAGUGGAAUUCCAUGUGUAGCGGUGAAAUGCGUAGAUAUAUGGAGGAACACCAGUGGCGAAGGCGACUCUCUGGUCUGUAACUGACGCUGAGGUUCGAAAGCGUGGGUAGCAAACAGG
RNAcentral lists this ribosomal RNA (429 nucleotides) under Bacteroidota bacterium. Its description in RNAcentral is "Bacteroidetes bacterium partial 16S ribosomal RNA". It matches the Rfam family "Bacterial small subunit ribosomal RNA", at positions 355 to 776 of the family's 1533-position model. Lineage: Bacteria; Pseudomonadati; Bacteroidota. The record is from RNAcentral.